UAGGGAAUCUUUGGCAAUGGACGAAAGUCUGACCGAGCAACGCCGCGCGAGUGAAGAAGGUUUUCGGAUCGUAAAACUCUGUUGUUAGAGAAGAAAAAGGACGUUAGUAACUGAACGUCCCCUGACGGUAUCUAACCAGAAAGCCACGGCUAACUACGUGCCAGCAGCCGCGGUAAUACGUAGGUGGCAAGCGUUGUCCGGAUUUAUUGGGCGUAAAGCGAGCGCAGGCGGUUUCUUAAGUCUGAUGUGAAAGCCCCCGGCUCAACCGGGGAGGGUCAUUGGAAACUGGGGGACUUGAGUGCAGGAGAGGAGAGUGGAAUUCCAUGUGUAGCGGUGAAAUGCGUAGAUAUGUGGAGGAACACCAGUGGCGAAGGCGGCUCUCUGGUCUGUAACUGACGCUGAGGCUCGAAAGCGUGGGGAACAAACAGG
This 429-nucleotide ribosomal RNA is filed under the name Gemmatimonadota bacterium. RNAcentral describes it as "Gemmatimonadetes bacterium partial 16S ribosomal RNA". It matches the Rfam family "Bacterial small subunit ribosomal RNA", at positions 355 to 776 of the family's 1533-position model. The record is from RNAcentral. Lineage: Bacteria; Pseudomonadati; Gemmatimonadota.